GUCGAACGGCAGCGCGGGGCAACCUGGCGGCGAGUGGCGAACGGGUGAGUAAUAUAUCGGAACGUACCCAAGAGUGGGGGAUAACGUAGCGAAAGUUACGCUAAUACCGCAUACGAUCUAAGGAUGAAAGCAGGGGAUCUUCGGACCUUGUGCUCCUGGAGCGGCCGAUAUCUGAUUAGCUAGUUGGUGAGGUAAAGGCUCACCAAGGCCACGAUCAGUAGCUGGUCUGAGAGGACGACCAGCCACACUGGAACUGAGACACGGUCCAGACUCCUACGGGAGGCAGCAGUGGGGAAUUUUGGACAAUGGGCGAAAGCCUGAUCCAGCAAUGCCGCGUGAGUGAAGAAGGCCUUCGGGUUGUAAAGCUCUUUUGUCAGGGAAGAAACGGUGAAGGCUAAUAUCCUUCGCUAAUGACGGUACCUGAAGAAUAAGCACCGGCUAACUACGUGCCAGCAGCCGCGGUAAUACGUAGGGUGCAAGCGUUAAUCGGAAUUACUGGGCGUAAAGCGUGCGCAGGCGGUUUUGUAAGUCUGACGUGAAAUCCCCGGGCUCAACCUGGGAAUUGCGUUGGAGACUGCAAGGCUAGAAUCUGGCAGAGGGGGGUAGAAUUCCACGUGUAGCAGUGAAAUGCGUAGAGAUGUGGAGGAACACCGAUGGCGAAGGCAGCCCCCUGGGUCAAGAUUGACGCUCAUGCACGAAAGCGUGGGGAGCAAACAGGAUUAGAUACCCUGGUAGUCCACGCCCUAAACGAUGUCUACUAGUUGUCGGGUUUUAAUUAACUUGGUAACGCAGCUAACGCGUGAAGUAGACCGCCUGGGGAGUACGGUCGCAAGAUUAAAACUCAAAGGAAUUGACGGGGACCCGCACAAGCGGUGGAUGAUGUGGAUUAAUUCGAUGCAACGCGAAAAACCUUACCUACCCUUGACAUG
This 929-nucleotide ribosomal RNA is filed under the name Massilia aurea. Its description in RNAcentral is "bacterial SSU rRNA". It matches the Rfam family "Bacterial small subunit ribosomal RNA", at positions 61 to 988 of the family's 1533-position model. The record is from RNAcentral. Lineage: Bacteria; Pseudomonadati; Pseudomonadota; Betaproteobacteria; Burkholderiales; Oxalobacteraceae.